UUACUGCUCCCUCCGUCCAACAAAAGAUGUCUCAAGUUUUUGUCAAAAUUUGGAUGUAUCUAGACAUGACUUAGUGUAUAGAUGAAUUUAAAUUUGGUCAAACUUGAGACAUCCUUUGUUGGACGGAGGGAGUAGUAC
Brachypodium distachyon (stiff brome) is the source of this 138-nucleotide non-coding RNA. The record is from Rfam. NCBI's taxonomy places the organism in Eukaryota, Viridiplantae, Streptophyta, Magnoliopsida, Poales, Poaceae.